CCCACUCCACUUACAUUUGAAGCGUUGCAGAGGUCUUCCAAAGUGCUUUUAGGCAAGGUUCGUCGAACCGGUACCGAGACCCAUACCGAUCGGCAAUCGGUGCCUGUUCGAAUCGGACGGAACCGUUCGGUUCCGUCAAUUUCUGGCUGGUUUCGGCCGGUCCUGGUCGGUUAGGGGCCGGAACCGUUUUCCAUUCGAGAGCCAACCUGGUCAGAGACCAGGUCAGCUCGGUUCAGCAAUCAUUGCUUUUGGGCCUGCACCACCUUCUUACGUUGAUGGCAUGCAUGUACAUGCUAAAUAUCAUUUGGAGUGAACUUUUUAGAUAGGAGGCCAAAGUCAUAGAUAAAUAAUAUAAGGGCCAUACUUCACUGGUAUGAAUUUAGCAGUAUAGAAAUAGAAAAUCUUGUUCAUAUAUCUUACUUCCACGACAUAGUUCUCUGCUUCGUUUUGUGCUAUUAAUUUUGCUUGUAUCUUUCCUAUUGACACAUUGCUUUUUAUUUUUGGUUUACUCAUACUGUUUAUAUUGAGAAUGCAGUUCUUUGGGGGAUUAAAAUUGAUUCUGUUCUUUGUCAAUGAUGGUUUCAUAGAUUUU
RNAcentral lists this long non-coding RNA (592 nucleotides) under Phoenix dactylifera (date palm). Its description in RNAcentral is "long non-coding RNA (PDAC_LNC021048)". The record is from RNAcentral. Lineage: Eukaryota; Viridiplantae; Streptophyta; Magnoliopsida; Arecales; Arecaceae.